RNAcentral lists this long non-coding RNA (361 nucleotides) under Lathyrus oleraceus (garden pea). RNAcentral describes it as "Pisum sativum (pea) long non-coding RNA (PSAT_LNC017173)". The record is from RNAcentral. Lineage: Eukaryota; Viridiplantae; Streptophyta; Magnoliopsida; Fabales; Fabaceae.
UAGGAAGGAGAAAAUGGGUGUUGGUAUAGGUCCCUCCAAGACUUGGAGUAAAGUAGAGGUCAGAAAGAUGAAGGAGAGUGAGAGUUCUGAAUCGGAUGAGGAUGUCGAAUAUGAUGUCUCGGACAUUUCCCCUGUUAAAAGGAAGCCUGUAAAGAAGUCUCCAAACAAAGUGGUUGUUGUUCAUCUUGACAAUAUCUCGUUUCACGUGGAAGGUGGUGCUGCCAAAUGGAAGUUUGUGACUCAAAGAAAAAAAGGAAGCCUGUAAAGAAGUCUCCAAACAAAGUGGUUGUUGUUCAUCUUGACAAUAUCUCGUUUCACGUGGAAGGUGGUGCUGCCAAAUGGAAGUUUGUGACUCAAAGAA